This is a long non-coding RNA of Gorilla gorilla gorilla (western lowland gorilla), 806 nucleotides long. RefSeq lists it as uncharacterized. The record is from RefSeq and is a predicted model, not a curated record. The transcript is spliced from 3 exons. NCBI's taxonomy places the organism in Eukaryota, Metazoa, Chordata, Mammalia, Primates, Hominidae.
GGUGUCGUGAUAGAAUAAUGAACAUUUCCUGUGGGGCUGGCACUGUGUUCUACAUAGAACUCAUUUAAUACAACAACCCUAUAACGAGGAAGCAAGCCAUGUGCAUCAAUUAUCAGGAACGCUUUAAUCCAACUGGGACCCCAAACAAACACCCCGUUUUAAUCCCGGGUGAAGUGAUACAAACAAUUUACAAAGCCUCACGACCCGGCAGCAACCCGAGUCUUACGUGAUCUGGCGAAACUCAUCUGCCUCCUAAGCUCCAACGCCACUGGUUUUCUUUCCAUGUCUCCAGUACUCAGCUCCUUCGGGUCUAUGGCAAUUGUACUUGCUGUUCUCCCUGCCUGGAUUAGUCCUACAGCUUUCCCUGACUGCAUCCUUCUCAUCAUUCAGAUCUCAACGCAAGCAUCACCUCCUUCCUCUGAGGCCUUGGCCUUCAACAUCCCAUUCCCUACCCCACAUCAUUCCAGACUGGAAGCUCUAGAGCUGGCAUUAGAACACUGUCUGGCCCACAAGCCUUCAAUACUUCAACAAAUGCUUGUUGAAUCCAAAAACGCUGAUUACCCUUCAAUCUGCCAGCUCACCCCACUCCCUCUCAAAAUACCUAGGAGAAUUAAUUUAUAAAGAAAACAUAAGCAAGCGACAGCGUAACACAUCGACUCAAAACAAAGCCGGUAAUCCGGGGCUGAACUGGUCAACGGCAUUUAAAGAAGGCCCCAAGAAAACCCUUUCCUGAUCGUGCACACACUUUUAAGAGGCGAAACCAGGGGGACAGGGCGGUCGGCGGCGCAGCGCUGCCUACCUUGAAC